GGAUUGUGGCUCAGCGGUAGAGUGCUCGCCUACUACAGGUGAGGCACUGGAUUCGAUCCUCAGCACCA
This 68-nucleotide transfer RNA is filed under the name Marmota monax (woodchuck). RNAcentral's name for it is "tRNA.Ser". Lineage: Eukaryota; Metazoa; Chordata; Mammalia; Rodentia; Sciuridae. The record is from RNAcentral.